Molecule: ribosomal RNA, 368 nt
Filed under: uncultured organism
Description: bacterial LSU rRNA
Rfam family: Bacterial large subunit ribosomal RNA
Source: RNAcentral
CUUUACUAUAGCUUCACAGUGGCACCAUGAUUGUAACGUGUAGGAUAGGUGGGAGGCUUUGAAGCCGGGACGCUAGUUUCGGUGGAGCCAAAACUGAAAUACCACCCUUUGCUCUUGUGUUGUCUAACCGAGGUCCGUUAUCCGGAUCCGGGACCCUGUGUGGUGGGUAGUUUGACUGGGGCGGUCGCCUCCUAAAGAGUAACGGAGGCGCGCGAUGGUGAGCUCAGGACGGUCGGAAAUCGUCCAUUGAGUGCAAUGGCAUAAGCUCGCCUUACUGUGAGACUGACACGUCGAACAGUGUCGAAAGACGGUCAUAGUGAUCCGGUGGUUUCCGCAUGGAAGGGCCAUCGCUCAACGGAUAAAAGGUA